UGAGUUUGAUCAUGGCUCAGAUUGAACGCUGGCGGCAUGCUUUACACAUGCAAGUCGAACGGUAACAGGGAGCUUGCUCCGCUGACGAGUGGCGAACGGGUGAGUAAUGCGUCGGAACGUGCCGAGUAGUGGGGGAUAACGCAUCGAAAGGUGUGCUAAUACCGCAUACGAACUGAGGUUGAAAGUGGGGACCUUCGGGCCUCACGCUAUUCGAGCGGCCGACGUCUGAUUAGCUAGUAGGUGAGGUAAAGGCUCACCUAGGCGACGAUCAGUAGCGGGUCUGAGAGGAUGAUCCGCCACACUGGGACUGAGACACGGCCCAGACUCCUACGGGAGGCAGCAGUGGGGAAUUUUGGACAAUGGGCGCAAGCCUGAUCCAGCCAUGCCGCGUGUCUGAAGAAGGCCUUCGGGUUGUAAAGGACUUUUGUCUGGGAGCAAAUACCCGGUGUUAAUAGCG
RNAcentral lists this ribosomal RNA (457 nucleotides) under uncultured bacterium. RNAcentral's name for it is "bacterial SSU rRNA". It matches the Rfam family "Bacterial small subunit ribosomal RNA", at positions 1 to 467 of the family's 1533-position model. The record is from RNAcentral.